CUUAACACAUGCAAGUCGAGGGGCAGCAUGGUCUUAGCUUGCUAAGGCCGAUGGCGACCGGCGCACGGGUGAGUAACACGUAUCCAACCUGCCGUCUACUCUUGGACAGCCUUCUGAAAGGAAGAUUAAUACAAGAUGGCAUCAUGAGUCCGCAUGUUCACAUGAUUAAAGGUAUUCCGGUAGACGAUGGGGAUGCGUUCCAUUAGAUAGUAGGCGGGGUAACGGCCCACCUAGUCUUCGAUGGAUAGGGGUUCUGAGAGGAAGGUCCCCCACAUUGGAACUGAGACACGGUCCGAACUCCUACGGGAGGCAGCAGUGAGGAAUAUUGGUCAAUGGGCGAGAGCCUGAACCAGCCAAGUAGCGUGAAGGAUGACUGCCCUAUGGGUUGUAAACUUCUUUUAUAAAGGAAUAAAGUCGGGUAUGGAUACCCGUUUGCAUGUACUUUAUGAAUAAGGAUCGGCUAACUCCGUGCCAGCAGCCGCGGUAAUACGGAGGAUCCGAGCGUUAUCCGGAUUUAUUGGGUUUAAAGGGAGCGUAGAUGGAUGUUUAAGUCAGUUGUGAAAGUUUGCGGCUCAACCGUAAAAUUGCAGUUGAUACUGGAUAUCUUGAGUGCAGUUGAGGCAGGCGGAAUUCGUGGUGUAGCGGUGAAAUGCUUAGAUAUCACGAAGAACUCCGAUUGCGAAGGCAGCCUGCUAAGCUGCAACUGACAUUGAGGCUCGAAAGUGUGGGUAUCAAACAGGAUUAGAUACCCUGGUAGUCCACACGGUAAACGAUGAAUACUCGCUGUUUGCGAUAUACUGCAAGCGGCCAAGCGAAAGCGUUAAGUAUUCCACCUGGGGAGUACGCCGGCAACGGUGAAACUCAAAGGAAUUGACGGGGGCCCGCACAAGCGGAGGAACAUGUGGUUUAAUUCGAUGAUACGCGAGGAACCUUACCCGGGCUUAAAUUGCAGAUGAAUUACGGUGAAAGCCGUAAGCCGCAAGGCAUCUGUGAAGGUGCUGCAUGGUUGUCGUCAGCUCGUGCCGUGAGGUGUCGGCUUAAGUGUCAUAACGAGCGCAACCCUUGUUGUCAGUUACUAACAGGUUCCGCUGAGGACUCUGACAAGACUGCCAUCGUAAGAUGUGAGGAAGGUGGGGAUGACGUCAAAUCAGCACGGCCCUUACGUCCGGGGCUACACACGUGUUACAAUGGGGGGUACAGAGGGCCGCUACCACGCGAGUGGAUGCCAAUCCCCAAAACCUCUCUCAGUUCGGACUGGAGUCUGCAACCCGACUCCACGAAGCUGGAUUCGCUAGUAAUCGCGCAUCAGCCACGGCGCGGUGAAUACGUUCCCGGGCCUUGUACACACCGCCCGUCAAGCCAUGGGAGCCGGGGGUACCUGAAGUGCGUAACCGCGAGGAGCGCCCUAGGGUAAAACUGGUGACUGGGGCUAAGUCAUAAC
This 1441-nucleotide ribosomal RNA is filed under the name uncultured organism. RNAcentral describes it as "SSU rRNA". It matches the Rfam family "Bacterial small subunit ribosomal RNA". The record is from RNAcentral.